GAUGAACGCUGGCGGCGUGCCUAAUACAUGCAAGUCGAGCGAACGGACGAGAAGCUUGCUUCUCUGAUGUUAGCGGCGGACGGGUGAGUAACACGUGGAUAACCUACCUAUAAGACUGGGAUAACUUCGGGAAACCGGAGCUAAUACCGGAUGAUAUUUUGAACCGCAUGGUUCAAAAGUGAAAGACGGUCUUGCUGUCACUUAUAGAUGGAUCCGCGCUGCAUUAGCUAGUUGGUAAGGUAACGGCUUACCAAGGCAACGAUGCAUAGCCGACCUGAGAGGGUGAUCGGCCACACAGGAACUGAGACACGGUCCAGACUCCUACGGGAGGCAGCAGUAGGGAAUCUUCCGCAGUGGGCGAAAGCCUGACGGAGCAACGCCGCGUGAGUGAUGAAGGUCUUCGGAUCGUAAAACUCUGCUAUUAGGGAAGAACAUAUGUGUAAGUAACUGUGCACAUCUUGACGGUACCUAAUCAGAAAGCCACGGCUAACUACGU
RNAcentral lists this ribosomal RNA (496 nucleotides) under uncultured bacterium. RNAcentral's name for it is "partial 16S ribosomal RNA". It matches the Rfam family "Bacterial small subunit ribosomal RNA", at positions 28 to 506 of the family's 1533-position model. The record is from RNAcentral.